GCCCAGGUGGUGGAAUUGGUAGACACGCAAGAUUCAGGUUCUUGUGCUCGCAAGGGUGUGCUAGUUCGAGUCUAGUCCUGGGCACCA
RNAcentral lists this transfer RNA (87 nucleotides) under Geobacter sp. RNAcentral describes it as "tRNA-Leu". It matches the Rfam family "tRNA". Rfam says of the family: Transfer RNA (tRNA) molecules are approximately 80 nucleotides in length. Their secondary structure includes four short double-helical elements and three loops (D, anti-codon, and T loops). Lineage: Bacteria; Pseudomonadati; Thermodesulfobacteriota; Desulfuromonadia; Geobacterales; Geobacteraceae. RNAcentral also lists the same sequence under 3 other names. The record is from RNAcentral.